UUGUCUUCCCAGCAGAUAUCAGGGUGGUGGAAGUCCCCCACGAGAGCCAGGGCCUGUGAUGGUGAGGCUACCCCCGGCUGUCUGUAGAAGGCCUCACCAACUUCCCUUCCUGGUCAGGUGGCCUGUGGUAAACACCCACAGCGGUGCCACCCAUGUUGGCCUGACUCUUAGUCUUUACCCAUAAACUCUUGACUUGUUCUUCAUCCACCCCGAGGCAGAGCUCAAUAUGUUCCAGUUGCUCCUUCACAUAAAGAGCAACGCCACCACGUCUCCUUGCUGGCCUGUCUUUCCUGAAAACUACACAGCCAUCCCUGACAGCGUUCCAGUCAUGCAAGCUAUCCCACCAUGUCUCUGCAACUGCAGCGAGAUCACGGCCCUGCGACUGACACAGAUCUCUGAUUCUCCCUGUUUAGGCCCCAUGCUGCGUGGAUUCCAUAUUUUUCUUAAUUCCAAAGCCAUCUUUGCAAGACAAAUUACAAGUUUGUUUUCAGCAUCUUUACAGUGAAAUUAUCUUACAAACAUAUUCUGAACUCAGAAGACUGAAAAGUAAAAUUCAGUUUAUAAAUUCAGUAUGCUGUACUUGUCUGCUUGUAAAUAAGUAUAAAAGAAUAUUCAAUUCAGCAAUACAUUAGACAUACCACAUAUCCUUUGUACUCUUCCCAAGGAGGAUAUAUACCAUAUGAAAGAUUUAUAUGGAUUAGUUUCACAUAAUAUCAUGAUUUUCUUGGUGGUGUGGUUUUUUGAUAGCUUGUGUAUUAACAUCAGCAUAGCCUAGAAGUUUGUUUUCAUCUGGAGCUCUGCUGCAGCUGUGCCUAUCAUAUAAACAAGGAGUUAGCAUGGCUCUCUUCAAACACAAUACACUUUUCUGAAGGUCUUUCUAGCUCUGCCUGUGACUGAAUAGCAUUCUGCUAUAAGUUCCUGUGUUAUUUCAUUUCUUCCUAACAUUUCAUUCCCUUUGUCAGUUCUUUCUGGCAAAUAUAAAUGAUUUGCGUGGUGAGGAACAAGAAGGGAAAAGCAGAAUAAGCUGUCCUUUCCCAGCGCCAGGCCUGCUCACUUCCUACUUCCCAGCUUAUACCCAGAAAACUAAAGCAUGGUUUGAACUGCUGUCAGCAGGCACAUGGCAAGAGACAGACAAGUCUGACCUAAAGUUUGUCCUCAGACUCCUUUUUUACAGUGACAGUGUGCUGUGUUUUUAGCAGCAUUUUUUUCACAGUUCAACUGUUCUGCCAAACUAAGAUUGUGGAUUUUGUUUGCGAGUCCACCGAUAAUCUUCAUUGCAUAGGUGCCAAGGUGUGCUGGAGUGCACCCGGGGCUCCCUUUCUAGGGCAGCCUGUGCUUGGUAGAGGUGCUGCAUGGCACACACUGUUGCAUCCCAGUGCUUCCCACAAACAGGGCAACGUAACAGUGGGUGCAGCUCACUUGCAAGUCUUCCAGGUCUUGAUAGCUCCUUAAAUCCCACCAUGUCCUCACACUUUGCAUACAUUCACCAUCCCCAGGUACACGUUGUAAAAAGCCAUUUGAUCCCACCUAUUCGGCACAGCAGCAAUACACAAAGGAGCAACCUGAGCUCAGAAGAGACUCAGACACUUCUUGGUACAAACAGAGAUGAGGAUUCAUCUCUGCUCUGGCAAGGAGGAUGCCUGACAGGAGCAUGACAGAGCUGCCCUAGGCUGGCUGUUCACAAAGCAGGGAAGAGUUACACUUGGAGUUCAAACAAGUAUCCACAUCUGCAACACCAACCGUUGCAGACAGACAGAUCUCCAGAAUCCAGGAGACCCAUCUGCAGCUGCUUUCUUCUCAUUUUCUCUUCAUAAGGAGCUGAAACCAGGAGAUGUGGACCAGCUAAACAUCUGGAGAGGAGCUGAGCUGUGAUGCAUGACGGGAGAAAUUUGGAUCUUAGUGGAAUUACUGGCAAACAUCCCACUGACUAAACAGGAGACUUAGUUGAACCCGGUGAAGACUAAGGACAUGGAUGGAUGGAUUCCUGUGGGGUGUUUCUCAGCAAAAAUGACCUGCUCCGCAGCCGGCAAGCCUCUAAAACAAGGAAACCAUUAGCUAUCCAUCAACUCUUUAAGUACUCCAGAUCAGGAUCAAAGUAAGUGAUACAAUCAGUUCCUACCUGAGAGGUCUUCUACAUGAAAGGUCUUCUACAUGAAGGAACUUUAUGAAAAUUCAUUAAUAUUAACUGCUUAAGGUAAUUAAUACCUAAGUGGAGUUUCUGAAGGACACAGAUCGCACUCCUUUAAAUUUCUAUUUUAUUAAGGUAAGAAAUGUCAAAAGAUUUUUUUUUUCAUAUGAAUAUAAGGUUUUGAUUCUGGUAAUGUGAAAUGGGGCUUUAAUACCGCAAGGUAAGUAUUUUGAACAAAAAAAAAAUAGAAGCAGCUAAAAAUCAGGCAAUUCAAAUUAAAAUUAAGUUCUGAUUUUAGGCUUGUUAGUUUGCAUUUCUUUUUUUUUUUAAAAAAAAAACAAACAACCCACCUACCACAUAACCACAAACACUCUUGAGCAGAUGCUGUGAUUACAGUGUCAAAUAAUGUUACUUUUCUUCAAUGUGGACCUACCUAAGAUGAGUAUUUCUAGAAAUAUUCUCCUGUAGGGCAACAUCCACACGAGGCCAUUUGCUCAAAUUUAACAUAAAAAAGUUUAGCUAUUUAGAAUUUUCUCAAAAAUUCAAGCUUACAGGCACAGUAAUGUGCCUGUAACAUUUUAUGACACAGUUUAUGAAUCUUUAGAAAGCAUCUGAAUUUUUAAGCCUUUUAAUUUUCUAAUUUUCAGAUGUAAAAUUUUAAGACGCACAUGCAACGUGUAAAACUGCACAGAACGAACCAUACUGUGAUUAAACACUACGGUUACAAGUAAACCACUCAAAAUUUGGACUGCGCCAGGAAGAUGGUUGCUAAGUAAAAUAUUACUUUGUUCCUUUGUACGUACACAU
Molecule: long non-coding RNA, 2935 nt
Organism: Falco peregrinus (peregrine falcon)
Lineage: Eukaryota; Metazoa; Chordata; Aves; Falconiformes; Falconidae
Exons: 3
Source: RefSeq, a predicted model, not a curated record